GUGAUAGAGCAGUGCUGUGUGAUAGAGCAGUGCUGUGGUGUAGUGAUAGAGCAGUGCUGUGUGAUAGAGCAGUGCUGUGUGAUAGAGCAGUGCUGUGGUAUAGAGCAGUGCUGUGUGAUAGAGCAGUGCCGUGGUGUAGUGAUAGAGCAGUGCUGUGGUGUAGUGAUAGAGCAGUGCUAUGUGAUAGAGCAGUGCUAUGGUGUAGUGAUAGAGCAGUGCUAUGUGAUAGAGCAGUGCUAUGGUGUAGUGUCAGAGCAGUGCUAUGUGAUAGAGCAGUGCUAUGGUGUAGUGAUAGAGCAGUGCUGUGGUGUAGUGAUAGAGCAGUGCCGUGGUGUAGUGAUAGAGCAGUGCUGUGGUGUAGUGAUAGAGCAGUGCUAUGUGAUAGAGCAGUGCUAUGGUGUAGUGAUAGAGCAGUGCUGUUGUGUAGUGAUAGAGCAGUGCUAUGUGAUAGAGCAGUGCUAUGGUGUAGUGAUAGAGCAGUGCUGUGGUGUAGUGAUAGAGCAGUGCUGUGGUGUAGUGAUAGAGCAGUGCUAUGUGAUAGAGCAGUGCUAUGGUGUAGUGAUAGAGCAGUGCUGUUGUGUAGUGAUAGAGCAGUGCUAUGUGAUAGAGCAGUGCUAUGGUGUAGUGAUAGAGCAGUGCUGUGGUGUAGUGAUAGAGCAGUGCUGUGGUGUAGUGAUAGAGCAGUGCUAUGUGAUAGAGCAGUGCUGUGUACUAGAGCAGUGCUGUGUGAUAGAGCAGUGCUGUGGUGUAGUGAUAGAGCAGUGCUAUGUGAUAGAGCAGUGCUAUGUGAUAGAGCAGUGCUAUGUGAUAGAGCAGUGCUGUGGUGUAGUGAUAGAGCAGUGCUGUGGUGUAGUGAUAGAGCAGUGCCGUGUGAUAGAGCAGUGCUGUGUAAUAGAGCAGUGCUGUGGUGUAGUGAUAGAGCAGUGCUGUGUAAUAGAGCAGUGCUGUGUGAUAGAGCAGUGCUGUGUGAUAGAGCAGUGCUGUAUGAUAGAGCAGUGCCGUGUGAUAGAGCAGUGCUGUGUAAUAGAGCAGUGCUGUGUGAUAGAGCAGUGCCGUGUGAUAGAGCAGUGCUGUGUAAUAGAGCAGUGCUGUGUGAUAGAGCAGUGCUGUGUAAUAGAGCAGUGCUGUGUGAUAGAGCAGUGCCGUGUGAUAGAGCAGUGCUGUGUAAUAGAGCAGUGCUGUGUGAUAG
This is a long non-coding RNA of Gasterosteus aculeatus aculeatus (three-spined stickleback), 1189 nucleotides long. Lineage: Eukaryota; Metazoa; Chordata; Actinopteri; Perciformes; Gasterosteidae. The record is from Ensembl.